UACGGAGGGUGCAAGCGUUGUCCGGAAUCACUGGGCGUAAAGGGUGCGUAGGUGGCGCCGUAAGUCAGGUGUGAAAUCUCGGAGCUCAACUCCGAAACUGCACUUGAUACUGCGGUGCUCGAGUACUGGAGAGGAGAUUGGAAUUUACGGUGUAGCAGUGAAAUGCGUAGAUAUCGUAAGGAAGACCAGUGGCGAAGGCGAAUCUCUGGACAGUUACUGACACUGAGGCACGAAGGCCAGGGGAGCAAACGGG
Molecule: ribosomal RNA, 253 nt
Filed under: uncultured bacterium
Lineage: Bacteria
Description: partial 16S ribosomal RNA
Rfam family: Bacterial small subunit ribosomal RNA
Source: RNAcentral